AAAAGAAAAAAAAAUCACAUUUUCUUCCCCCUUCUAUGCAUGUUUUUCGAAAUCCUCUACAACUACUUUUUCUUAUCACGCUCUUCUUCUCAAGAUCUCACUCCUCCGUCGCAACCGACGAGGAUCCCGACCGUUGACACCGCAAGCUGUCAGUUGCCCACCCCUACAGCUCUGAUCCAUGAUCCAUCUUCAUCGACGCUCCUUGAUUGUCUUUGCUCCGUUGUCACCCCCUAUGGCUAGAAUAAGAAAACUCACCAUCGUCUUUGCUCCGACAAGGACCUCGCCGACUGCAAGCUCAAUGUCUACAACCUCGGCUAGGAGAUCGACUGCCCAAAAUCACCCUCAAUGUUCGUUCUUUGUCCUACAAAUGAGUGUCUUUUAAUUCUUCAAACUGCAUCGGGUACAAUUAUGGCAUACAUACAUAUUUAUACAUCAAAUCGAUCCUAGAAGGAAAGGAGACCAUGGACAUUGAAGCUUUAUAAAGGGAGUCUGAAAUGUUAAGAGGCAGGACUUGCUGCUCAAAUUAUAUGUGAUGGCCGAGAAUUAAGAAGCUGGGAUUGAAGUUAGAUGUAAAUAAUCCUUAAUAUCUUUUAUAUUUUGGAUACAAUGAUGCACUAUUGAUUGAGUAAAAUUAUUAGACAAACACGUACAAUAUAAUUCUAUGUUGGAUAUGACUAGUUUCUUU
Long non-coding RNA from Asparagus officinalis (garden asparagus), 685 nucleotides. RefSeq lists it as uncharacterized. The record is from RefSeq and is a predicted model, not a curated record. The transcript is spliced from 3 exons. NCBI's taxonomy places the organism in Eukaryota, Viridiplantae, Streptophyta, Magnoliopsida, Asparagales, Asparagaceae.